This 228-nucleotide ribosomal RNA is filed under the name uncultured bacterium. RNAcentral describes it as "partial 16S ribosomal RNA". It matches the Rfam family "Bacterial small subunit ribosomal RNA", at positions 568 to 795 of the family's 1533-position model. The record is from RNAcentral.
UACGUAGGCGGAAAAUUAAGUCAGUGGUGAAAUCCUGCAGCUUAACUGUAGAACUGUCAUUGAUACUGGUUUUCUUGAAUAUAGUUGAGGUAGGCGGAAUGUGUAAUGUAGCGGUGAAAUGCUUAGAUAUUACACAGAACACCGAUUGCGAAGGCAGCUUACUAAGCUAUGAUUGACGCUGAGGUACGAAAGCGUGGGGAGCGAACAGGAUUAGAUACCCUGGUAGUC